RNAcentral lists this ribosomal RNA (376 nucleotides) under uncultured bacterium. Its description in RNAcentral is "bacterial SSU rRNA". It matches the Rfam family "Bacterial small subunit ribosomal RNA", at positions 523 to 898 of the family's 1533-position model. The record is from RNAcentral.
AUACGUAGGGAGCGAGCGUUGUCCGGAUUUACUGGGUGUAAAGGGUGCGUAGGCGGCUCUGCAAGUCAGGUGUGAAAACCAUCGGCUUAACUGAUGGACUGCAUUUGAAACUGUGGAGCUUGAGUGGAGUAGAGGCAGACGGAAUUCCCGGUGUAGCGGUGAAAUGCGUAGAGAUCGGGAGGAACACCAGUGGCGAAGGCGGUCUGCUGGGCUUUAACUGACGCUGAGGCACGAAAGCAUGGGUAGCAAACAGGAUUAGAUACCCUGGUAGUCCAUGCCGCAAACGAUGAUUACUAGGUGUGGGGGGUCUGACCCCCUCCGUGCCGGAGUUAACACAAUAAGCAAUCCACCUGGGGAGUACGGCCGCAAGGUUGAA